RNAcentral lists this ribosomal RNA (292 nucleotides) under uncultured prokaryote. RNAcentral's name for it is "partial 16S ribosomal RNA". It matches the Rfam family "Bacterial small subunit ribosomal RNA", at positions 505 to 796 of the family's 1533-position model. The record is from RNAcentral.
GUGCCAGCAGCCGCGGUAAUACAGAGGGUGCAAGCGUUAAUCGGAAUUACUGGGCGUAAAGCGCGCGUAGGUGGUUCGUUAAGUUGGAUGUGAAAUCCCCGGGCUCAACCUGGGAACUGCAUUCAAAACUGACGAGCUAGAGUAUGGUAGAGGGUGGUGGAAUUUCCUGUGUAGCGGUGAAAUGCGUAGAUAUAGGAAGGAACACCAGUGGCGAAGGCGACCACCUGGACUGAUACUGACACUGAGGUGCGAAAGCGUGGGGAGCAAACAGGAUUAGAUACCCGAGUAGUCC